AGCGUACACGGUGGAUGCCCUGGCAGUCAGAGGCGAUGAAGGACGUGCUAAUCUGCGAAAAGCGUCGGUAAGGUGAUAUGAACCGUUAUAACCGGCGAUGUCCGAAUGGGGAAACCCAGUGCAAUUCGUUGCACUAUCGUUAACUGAAUACAUAGGUUAACGAGGCGAACCGGGGGAACUGAAACAUCUAAGUACCCCGAGGAAAAGAAAUCAACCGAGAUUCCCCCAGUAGCGGCGAGCGAACGGGGAGCAGCCCAGAGUCUGAAUCAGCUUGUGUGUUAGUGGAACGGUCUGGAAAGUCCGACGGUACAGGGUGAUAGUCCCGUACACCAAAAUGCACAGGUUGUGAACUCGAAGAGUAGGGCGGGACACGUGGUAUCCUGUCUGAAUAUGGGGGGACCAUCCUCCAAGGCUAAAUACUCCUGACUGACCGAUAGUGAACCAGUACCGUGAGGGAAAGGCGAAAAGAACCCCGGCGAGGGGAGUGAAAAAGAACCUGAAACCGUGUACGUACAAGCAGUGGGAGCACCUUCGGGUGUGACUGCGUACCUUUUGUAUAAUGGGUCAGCGACUUAUAUUCUGUAGCAAGGUUAACCGUAUAGGGGAGCCGCAGGGAAACCGAGUCUUAACUGGGCGUUAAGUUGCAGGGUAUAGACCCGAAACCCGGUGAUCUAGCCAUGGGCAGGUUGAAGGUUGGGUAACACUAACUGGAGGACCGAACCGACUAAUGUUGAAAAAUUAGCGGAUGACUUGUGGCUGGGGGUGAAAGGCCAAUCAAACCGGGAGAUAGCUGGUUCUCCCCGAAAGCUAUUUAGGUAGCGCCUCGUGAAUUCAUCUUCGGGGGUAGAGCACUGUUUCGGCUAGGGGGUCAUCCCGACUUACCAACCCGAUGCAAACUACGAAUACCGAAGAAUGUUAUCACGGGAGACACACGGCGGGUGCUAACGUCCGUCGUGAAGAGGGAAACAACCCAGACCGCCAGCUAAGGUCCCAAAGUCAUGGUUAAGUGGGAAACGAUGUGGGAAGGCACAGACAGCCAGGAUGUUGGCUUAGAAGCAGCCAUCAUUUAAAGAAAGCGUAAUAGCUCACUGGUCGAGUCGGCCUGCGCGGAAGAUGUAACGGGGCUAAACCAUGCACCGAAGCUGCGGCAGCGACACUAUGUGUUGUUGGGUAGGGGAGCGUUCUGUAAGCCUGCGAAGGUGUGCUGUGAGGCAUGCUGGAGGUAUCAGAAGUGCGAAUGCUGACAUAAGUAACGAUAAAGCGGGUGAAAAGCCCGCUCGCCGGAAGACCAAGGGUUCCUGUCCAACGUUAAUCGGGGCAGGGUGAGUCGACCCCUAAGGCGAGGCCGAAAGGCGUAGUCGAUGGGAAACAGGUUAAUAUUCCUGUACUUGGUGUUACUGCGAAGGGGGGACGGAGAAGGCUAUGUUAGCCGGGCGACGGUUGUCCCGGUUUAAGCAUGUAGGCUGGUUGUCCAGGCAAAUCCGGAUAAUCAAGGCUGAGGUGUGAUGACGAGGCACUACGGUGCUGAAGUAACAAAUGCCCUGCUUCCAGGAAAAGCCUCUAAGCAUCAGGUAACAUCAAAUCGUACCCCAAACCGACACAGGUGGUCAGGUAGAGAAUACCAAGGCGCUUGAGAGAACUCGGGUGAAGGAACUAGGCAAAAUGGUGCCGUAACUUCGGGAGAAGGCACGCUGGUGUGUAGGUGAAGUCCCUGCGGAUGGAGCUGAGACCAGUCGAAGAUACCAGCUGGCUGCAACUGUUUAUUAAAAACACAGCACUGUGCAAACACGAAAGUGGACGUAUACGGUGUGACGCCUGCCCGGUGCCGGAAGGUUAAUUGAUGGGGUUAUCCGUAAGGAGAAGCUCUUGAUCGAAGCCCCGGUAAACGGCGGCCGUAACUAUAACGGUCCUAAGGUAGCGAAAUUCCUUGUCGGGUAAGUUCCGACCUGCACGAAUGGCGUAAUGAUGGCCAGGCUGUCUCCACCCGAGACUCAGUGAAAUUGAACUCGCUGUGAAGAUGCAGUGUACCCGCGGCAAGACGGAAAGACCCCGUGAACCUUUACUAUAGCUUGACACUGAACAUUGAGCCUUGAUGUGUAGGAUAGGUGGGAGGCUUUGAAGCGUGGACGCCAGUCUGCGUGGAGCCAACCUUGAAAUACCACCCUUUAAUGUUUGAUGUUCUAACGUUGGCCCCUGACCGGGGUUGCGGACAGUGUCUGGUGGGUAGUUUGACUGGGGCGGUCUCCUCCCAAAGCGUAACGGAGGAGCACGAAGGUUAGCUAAUCCUGGUCGGACAUCAGGAGGUUAGUGCAAUGGCAUAAGCUAGCUUGACUGCGAGCGUGACGGCGCGAGCAGGUGCGAAAGCAGGUCAUAGUGAUCCGGUGGUUCUGAAUGGAAGGGCCAUCGCUCAACGGAUAAAAGGUACUCCGGGGAUAACAGGCUGAUACCGCCCAAGAGUUCAUAUCGACGGCGGUGUUUGGCACCUCGAUGUCGGCUCAUCACAUCCUGGGGCUGAAGUAGGUCCCAAGGGUAUGGCUGUUCGCCAUUUAAAGUGGUACGCGAGCUGGGUUUAGAACGUCGUGAGACAGUUCGGUCCCUAUCUGCCGUGGGCGCUGGAGAAUUGAGGGGGGCUGCUCCUAGUACGAGAGGACCGGAGUGGACGCAUCACUGGUGUUCGGGUUGUCAUGCCAAUGGCACUGCCCGGUAGCUAAAUGCGGAAGAGAUAAGUGCUGAAAGCAUCUAAGCACGAAACUUGCCCCGAGAUGAGUUCU
Molecule: ribosomal RNA, 2771 nt
Filed under: Klebsiella pneumoniae
Lineage: Bacteria; Pseudomonadati; Pseudomonadota; Gammaproteobacteria; Enterobacterales; Enterobacteriaceae
Also listed under: 2 other names
Description: bacterial LSU rRNA
Rfam family: Bacterial large subunit ribosomal RNA
Source: RNAcentral